Theobroma cacao (cacao) is the source of this 2398-nucleotide non-coding RNA. The record is from RefSeq and is a predicted model, not a curated record. NCBI's taxonomy places the organism in Eukaryota, Viridiplantae, Streptophyta, Magnoliopsida, Malvales, Malvaceae.
GCCGACAUAAAAUCAAAAAAGAAUUCCCAUUAUUUUCCUUAAACGACGGUGUUUUCUACUAUUUCGUUUCCUUAGCUCGCACGUUCAAGUUAUCGAUCUUCGAUCGGACUCGGAAGAACACGUUGGUUCAUCGGCGAACCAGAAUAAGGAAAAGUAAAACUAAAAAUUUGAAGAAGAAAACCACAUAGAGGAACGAGAUGAAGAUCGACGUGAAUGCGAUGGCUCGUAGAGUCGAAGUCGAUAAUCGAAUUCCUCUCCGUUAUUAUUAUCGAAUCGCCGAUAAUCUCCUCAAACAGGCGAGCAUUUACCGAGACGAAAAGAAUAUAGUAGAUUUGUACAUAAUACUGCUUAGAUAUUCAAGUUUGGUGUCGGAAACAAUACCAUUCCAUCGAGAUUACCAGGUUUUGCUUCCAAAAGAAAAGGCGCAGUAUAGGAAGAGACUUUUAGCUGUACUCGAUGAGCUUGAAUCUUCGAAACCUGAGGUUCACCGGAGAGUUGAAGAACUAAAUAAAUCUCAUGCAGGGGCUCGAUUGCUUGAACUUGAUGGCCAUGAAACAACUUCCUAUGGCUCAGAGAAGAUGUCACCUUUGGAAUGGUCCUCUGUCAAUAAUGGGUCUAAUAUGAGCUUGGAUAUUGAGCAGCCUGCCAACAUGGCAGUUCAAUCUUCAUGGAAGUAUAACAAUGAUCGUAAUCUAAUUGACAAGCAAUUCCAGAAGUUGUCUCUACCUUUUCCAAAUAAAGAAACUUUGUCUAGACACUCAUUUCUAGGCCCUGAUGGUCUUCGAGGCCAGUGGCUUGGACCAAGGGCAGAGAUAAAGGUUCAAUAUCCUAGCAGUAUGGACUUGGUACCUGCUGAAAAGCCAGGCCCCAAUCAGGCUGGACAAUAUGGUGCUUUGGCUGUAAAAGAUGGUGAUCCAGGAGGGGUUGGUUCUGCUAUGGAGUCAGUGCUCUCCUUAGAUGAUGGUCGAUGGUUACAUCCUGCUGAAGAGUCAUGUCACCCUUUGAUUAGUGAAGCUAGGGAGGAUCCUUUCCAGUUUGUUGGUAUCAGACAACCUUCUCCUCCUCCUGUUCUCGCUCGAGUGCAGCAGGACUUCACUCCAAUUCCUCCAUCAAAAGUUGCUGAUCCAAGACCUGGUCCAGCUAAGCCUUCUCAAGAUGGAAUGCCAAACUCUAAUUCGUAUCAACAUUUACAUGUUCCAGUACAUAUGAUGGAGGAUUUCUUACGAUUGGCUCGGGCAAAUACAGAAAAAAAUUUGGAAACAUGUGGUGUUCUAGCUGGAUCAUUGAAAAACAGGGUUUUUCACAUCACCACACUUAUAAUCCCAAAGCAGGAGUCGACUUCAGAUUCGUGUUCAACAUUAAACGAAGAAGAAAUUUUUGAAGUUCAAGACAAAUUAUCUCUUUUUCCCCUUGGGUGGAUUCAUACACACCCAACUCAGACUUGUUUCAUGUCGUCAGUUGAUCUACACACUCAUUACUCAUAUCAGAUUAUGUUACCAGAAGCAAUUGCAAUUGUUAUGGCUCCGACAGAUACAUCCAGCCCACAUGGUAUCUUUCAUCUGUCUGAUCCUGGCGGUGUGUCCAUUAUUCGUAAUUGUCAGCAACGGGGAUUCCAUCCCCAUGAGGAGCCUUCCGAUGGAAGCCCAAUAUAUGAGCAUUGCUCUCAUGUCUUCAUGAAUCCCAAAAUAAAGUUUGAUGUUGUCGAUCUCCGGUGAGAUACAAAGUGUUCAACCCUCCCUGAUGAAGUAUCGAUGGGAAAAAUUUUUCACAGAAGGAAUUAUGUAAGUGUGCGUUAAAAUAACUGUUUUGCUGACACCAAUCCUGUAAAUUCUAUUGAAGAGAAUCAUGGUGCAAAUAGAGCAUACUCAUUUUCUUUUUUUCCAAUCAUAUUGUAAGAAUUGCCUCCCCAUCAUUCCUUUCCUGCUUUGUACUGUAUAUUAAGGCCUUUUUUUUUGUAAAGGAAAAUAACAGAUUAUCGAAGGAAGCACCUUUAAGCUUCUAGUUGGAGAUCAAAUGCACCCGACCCGUGUCAGAUACCAUUGCUGCCAUGAUCUCAGCAAACUUUGAACGGGGUGACCUGAAAAGGUCCGGGUUUAAUUGCACUCUCUUUCCCGAUGGUGUUUGCCGACGUUGAUAACUCAUCAACAUUCGCCCUGCCUGCCAUGCUGUGGGUAGUGCCAGUAUCAAUGAUGAAUGUACUCAGAAUUUUCUGUAACUUCUCUGGAAAGAUCUUCAUGCCAUUUGGGUAGCACUCGUUUUUGCUUAGGUUCAUUAAUAUUUCUCUCCCGUACGGAUAAGAAGUUGGUGGGUUUCUUUUAUAGCUAGGAAUCCACUCGGAUCUGUAAUGACUGUUCUACGAUCGUUACCGACGCCCAAGUCUCUUGAGCAAGUUCGUUGA